AUAAAGUUUAAUUUUAGUUUAAAAAUUUAUUUAAUUUUUUAUUUACAUGUAAAUUUUAGUAGGGAUAUAAUAUUAAUUUUAAUAAUUAUAUUUAAAUUUUUUAUUCGCAGUAUGAAAUAUUAAUAAUUUAGGGGAUUAAGAAUUAUGAAUAAAUUUAUAUAUUAACAAAAUUUGUGCCAGCAGUUGCGGUUAUACAAAAAAUGUAAAUAAAUUUUAUUGGUUAAUAAUUAAAUGAAUUUUAUUUAAUUAAAGUAAAAUUUAUAAAGUGAAAUUUAAAAUUUUAAAUAAUUAUAAUUAAAAAUAUUGAUAUUAUGAAAUUUUAAUAUUAAACUAGGAUUAGAUACCCUAUUAUUUAAAAUGUAAAUUUAUAUACCAAAGUAGUAUUAGUUAUGAUCUUGAAAUUUAAAAAUUUUGGCGGUAUUUUAGUCUAUUCAGAGGAACCUGUUCUAUAAUUGAUAGUCCACGAUAAACUUUACUUUAUUUAUUAGUUUAUAUAUCGUCGUUAUUAAAUAUUUUAUAAGAAUUAUAAUAUUUAAUAUUUUUAAUUAAAAAAUAUAUCAGAUCAAGGUGUAGUUAAUAAUAAAGAAGAAAUGGGUUACAAUAAAUAUAUUUUUUGGAUUUAUAUAUAAAAUUGUGUAAUGAAAUUGGAUUUGAUAGUAAUAAUUUUUAGAUUUAAUUUAUGAUUAUAGCUCUAAAAUGUGUACAUAUCGCCCGUCACUCUUAUUAUAAGAUAAGAUAAGUCGUAACAUAGUAGAUGUACUGGAAAGUGUAUCUAGAAUGA
RNAcentral lists this non-coding RNA (781 nucleotides) under Hydroporus despectus. The record is from RNAcentral. Lineage: Eukaryota; Metazoa; Arthropoda; Insecta; Coleoptera; Dytiscidae.